AACCAGCUCUUCAAGUGGUCGGGAUAAUUAUUGGGCUUAAAGUGUCCGUAGCCGGUUUGGAAAGUUCCUGGUAAAAUCGGAUAGCUUAACUAUCUGCAUGCUAGGAAUACUACCAUACUAGAGGGCGGGAGAGGUCUGAGGUACUACAGGGGUAGGGGUGAAAUCUUAUAAUCCUUGUAGGACCACCAGUGGCGAAGGCGUCAGACUGGAACGCGCCUGACGGUGAGGGACGAAAGCCAGGGGAGCGAACCGGAUUAGAUACCCGGGUAGUCCUGGCUGUAAACGAUGCAUACUAGGUGAUGGUACGGCCAUGAGCCGUAUCAGUGCCGUAGGGAAACCGUUAAGUAUGCCGCCUGGGAAGUACGGUCGCAAGGCUAAAACUUAAAGGAAUUGGCGGGGGAGCACCACAAGGGGUGAAGCCUGUGGUUU
This 429-nucleotide ribosomal RNA is filed under the name uncultured archaeon. RNAcentral describes it as "bacterial SSU rRNA". It matches the Rfam family "Archaeal small subunit ribosomal RNA", at positions 474 to 903 of the family's 1478-position model. The record is from RNAcentral.